Molecule: long non-coding RNA, 109 nt
Filed under: Polistes fuscatus (common paper wasp)
Lineage: Eukaryota; Metazoa; Arthropoda; Insecta; Hymenoptera; Vespidae
Description: uncharacterized LOC122514180
Source: RNAcentral
CCUUCAUCCGCAAGAUCAACUCGAUCGUGGGAACAAAAAUGAACAAAGUUUAAAGAAAUGUGGUGCAUAGGAUGUUUGGUAAAGAAUCGAUCGAUACGAGAAAGAAAAA